AACGCACCUUGCGCUCCUUGGUAUUCCGAGGAGCAUGCCUGUUUGAGUGUCUUGAAAUCAUCAAGUCCCCGGAUUCGCGUCCGGAGGCUUGGACUUGGGGGUCUUUGCUGCGCUUUCGGCGCGGCUCCCCUUAAAUGAAUCGGUUGUGGCCCGUCCGGCUUCAGUCCUCGGCGUUGUAUUCACCUCGCCCCGCGUCUCGUCGGCAGCGCCCUUCCCCGACCGCCUUUGGAGCGGCGGUCAAGACUACAAUUUGAAAUCUGACCUCAAAUCAGGUAGGACUACCCGCUGAACUUAA
Molecule: unclassified non-coding RNA, 295 nt
Filed under: uncultured Trechisporales
Lineage: Eukaryota; Fungi; Basidiomycota; Agaricomycetes; Trechisporales
Description: sequence contains ITS2
Rfam family: 5.8S ribosomal RNA (bases 1-52)
Source: RNAcentral